This 792-nucleotide ribosomal RNA is filed under the name uncultured bacterium. Its description in RNAcentral is "bacterial SSU rRNA". It matches the Rfam family "Bacterial small subunit ribosomal RNA", at positions 66 to 855 of the family's 1533-position model. The record is from RNAcentral.
ACGGUAACAUUUCUAGCUUGCUAGAAGAUGACGAGUGGCGGACGGGUGAGUAAUGCUUGGGAACUUGCCUUUGCGAGGGGGAUAACAGUUGGAAACGACUGCUAAUACCGCAUAAUGUCUACGGACCAAACGGGGCUUAGGCUCCGGCGCAAAGAGAGGCCCAAGUGAGAUUAGCUAGUUGGUAAGGUAAUGGCUUACCAAGGCAACGAUCUCUAGCUGUUCUGAGAGGAAGAUCAGCCACACUGGAACUGAGACACGGUCCAGACUCCUACGGGAGGCAGCAGUGGGGAAUAUUGCACAAUGGGGGAAACCCUGAUGCAGCCAUGCCGCGUGUGUGAAGAAGGCCUUCGGGUUGUAAAGCACUUUCAGUUGUGAGGAAAAGUUAGUAGUUAAUACCUGCUAGCCGUGACGUUAACAACAGAAGAAGCACCGGCUAACUCCGUGCCAGCAGCCGCGGUAAUACGGAGGGUGCGAGCGUUAAUCGGAAUUACUGGGCGUAAAGCGCACGCAGGCGGUUUGUUAAGCUAGAUGUGAAAGCCCCGGGCUCAACCUGGGAUAGUCAUUUAGAACUGGCAGACUAGAGUCUUGGAGAGGGGAGUGGAAUUCCAGGUGUAGCGGUGAAAUGCGUAGAUAUCUGGAGGAACAUCAGUGGCGAAGGCGACUCCCUGGCCAAAGACUGACGCUCAUGUGCGAAAGUGUGGGUAGCGAACAGGAUUAGAUACCCUGGUAGUCCACACCGUAAACGCUGUCUACUAGCUGUUUGUGACUUUAAGUCGUGAGUAGCGAAGCUAA